Molecule: unclassified non-coding RNA, 817 nt
Filed under: Leishmania donovani
Lineage: Eukaryota; Euglenozoa; Kinetoplastea; Trypanosomatida; Trypanosomatidae
Description: gene:LdHU3.06.1450(CDS-product:Transcription_fact or_e(y)2_putative)
Source: RNAcentral
CGACGCCGACCCGCCUCCACGCGCACACCCACACGCACGCAGAGAUACUCACCUACGCGCAUGCCAUGGCCACGAGUGCCGAAGACGGCCACGUUGCCUACGAGGCACUCACGAACGCACAAAAGGCGGAGCUCGCCGCUUGGGUGCGAAACCAGCUGGAUAGCACAAACGGCGCCUCACAGUGGCGUCGGCACACGCAGGCGAUGAUCCGCCAGGCUAUGGCGCGCAGAGCCGCGUCCGGUGCACCACUCGACGCCGGCGACAUUCUUGAAGAGAUCAUGCCGCACGUACGCUCUGCUAUCCCGCCAGAGGUGCGCGAAGGCCUCUUCCGCCGCGUGACAGCGCAGCUGCACUUGUAAAACGCAGAGCCCAUGCGCAUCCCUCGCAGUCCGAUUCAUGCCAUGUCUGCUAGCUACAGGCACACCGAUACGGUAGCUGCAGAGCCCACGCAAAUCACGUUACAUCCGGAUGAGGACGUAAAACAGUGCACAAGGAAAAGCAGAGCAAACAUCUGUCGACGGCGCACGAAGCAGUGCAACACCAGAGAAGCGCAAGCCACCAAGUCCCUCACCCAGCGUACCGCCUCCCUUCUUGGUCUUUGGCAUGCAGGCGAUCUCCUCGUGAGCGGCGACGUCGGCGUGCCCGUCAGCGCCUGUUCUCUCUCUGUCGCCCCUGUGUCUACACACGUAUGUAUGCACGCCGCAUUCCUCAACGACUUCGCCUAUUUCUUGCCUCGCUCUCCAACCUCCUUUCUCUGUUUCUCUUCGGCCCCCCUCCCCGCCCAUCCGAGCGCCGCUUGCGUGCGCGUGUACCACAG